This 401-nucleotide long non-coding RNA is filed under the name Trifolium pratense (red clover). RNAcentral's name for it is "long non-coding RNA (TPRA_LNC004726)". The record is from RNAcentral. Lineage: Eukaryota; Viridiplantae; Streptophyta; Magnoliopsida; Fabales; Fabaceae.
AGAAGGAGGGGGACUAGGCCAAAACCUCCUUAAGAACUAGAAAAUAUAAAACUAGGUUUACCCAAACUAUUGUCAUCAAAAAAACUUCUAAUUUCUGAUGGAAUGUCAAACCAAAUGGUAAACCUAUCAAGAUUCAGCCCAAUGUUUGCUAAUCCAUCAGCACAUUAAUUUCCUUCCCUAUAAACAUGUGAAACCACAAAAUUCAUAUUUCUAGUUAGUAAGUUACAAUUCAUCCACUUGUUACUUAGUUCCCAAGGCACUAAUUCGGAUGACUUAAAGGCCAUAACCACAAGAGUUGAGUGUGUCUCUAGCCAAAGGUUCUUCCAAUUCCUACUAUUGGCUAUUUCAAUAGCUGUCAUGGCUCCACAAAGUUCAGCCAUAAAAGCUGACUUUAGGCCUAU